GAUGAACGCUGGCGGCGUGCUUAACACAUGCAAGUCGAACGAAGCACUUUAACCUGAUUCUUCGGAUGAAGGUUUUUGUGACUGAGUUGCGGACGGGUGAGUAACGCGUGGGUAACCUGCCUCAUACAGGGGGAUAACAGAUAGAAAUGACUGCUAAUACCGCAUAAGACCACAGAGCCGCAUGGCUCGGUGGGAAAAACUCCGGUGGUAUGAGAUGGACGCGCGUCUGAUUAGGUAGUUGGUGGGGUAACGGCCUACCAAGCCAACGAUCAGUAGCCGAGCUGAGAGGGUGACCGGCCACAGUGGGACUGAGCCACGGCCCAAACUCCUACGGGAGGCAGCAGUGGGGAAUAUUGCAAAAUGGGGGAAAUCCUGAUGCAGCGACGCCGCGUGAGCGAAGAAGGAUGUCGGUAUGUAAAGCUCUAUAAGCAGGGAAGAAAAUGACGGUACCUGAAGAAGAAGCACCGGCUAAAUACGUG
Molecule: ribosomal RNA, 479 nt
Filed under: uncultured bacterium
Lineage: Bacteria
Description: partial 16S ribosomal RNA
Rfam family: Bacterial small subunit ribosomal RNA
Source: RNAcentral